RNAcentral lists this long non-coding RNA (831 nucleotides) under Monodelphis domestica (gray short-tailed opossum). Its description in RNAcentral is "lncRNA (ENSMODG00000038757.1)". The record is from RNAcentral. Lineage: Eukaryota; Metazoa; Chordata; Mammalia; Didelphimorphia; Didelphidae.
AUCAACAAUCACAAAAUCAUAUUUCACACUAAGGAUAUGAGUCUAAGAUAGUUGAUGUGAUCUAUCCAAAACCAAACAAUCAUAAAGUGGCAGAAUCAAGGUUAGAAGUCAAAUCUUGGGAGCAGGAGCCAGAACAAUAAUGCUUUAUAAUCUGAGAGUGCUUUCCCAUUUAUCUCAUUUGUCCUUUCCAACAGCCCUCUGACAGGUAAAGCAUAUAUUUAUUUGAAUAGAUCAUUCCUUUUGUAGAAGGGAGGAUCCUGAGGCAAGAGGGGAAAUGGUCUGCUUGAGGUCACGUAGCAAGUGAGUAGCAAAAAAGGGGCUAGCAUGUGAGUCUUCUGGUUCCUGGUUCACUGUUCUUUUUUACUAUAGCCUGUUGCUUCUCUUCACGUAUUUUAAUGAGUUCUGAAAAGCUGAUUUCUUAAGAAAUUGCUUGGUUCAUAUAUACCCAAAGUAGAGAAAAUGUGAGAGGGCUUGGUGAUAAAUCAUGAAAAUGAGAAUUCACAAUUAUAUGAAAAAAAAAUGAGGUAAGAAGCAUUCCCCCCCCCGCCCACACACACACUCAUCAUGAAGAUAAAUGAGGCUAGAACAUGACAUCUUUUUAAAAAAAAAGCAUGUGACCCAUGCUAGUAUUUAAACAGAGAUUCUUCUUCCAGAAGGAAGAUAGGAUCUAGAAGUUAGUUCUUCAAAUGGAAAUAUCUUAUCCCUAAGAGAGAAGAGAGAUUUAGAUUGGAGAAAUAGAGAAGUGAUUUCAAAAGGAGAGUGAGAGCUCGAAAGGGCCUUAGAACAAAGAAUGUUCUCUUCAGAAUAGAGACUGCCUGACCUGGAAGGGAC